This 1462-nucleotide long non-coding RNA is filed under the name Manihot esculenta (cassava). Its description in RNAcentral is "long non-coding RNA (MESC_LNC003629)". Lineage: Eukaryota; Viridiplantae; Streptophyta; Magnoliopsida; Malpighiales; Euphorbiaceae. The record is from RNAcentral.
AAGAACUGCUCCUGCAGACCUCCAACUGUAUUUAGCAUAGCUUAAAUUGAAUAAAAUUGUAACAUUUAUACAUUCCGAUUGCAACAAAAAUACUUGUACAUGAGUUUGUAACAUCAUGUAAACCCAAGCUUCAACGUUAGGAAGUUGACCUUUGAAUCCUCUUGAACCCCAUGCGGUCUUGAAUCCAGGUACAGCUGCAAUCUCCUUCAGUCCAUAAGGAAUCCCAUACAAAGGCUCUGUCAAUGAAACGAGUAUUUAUUUAACUCUUCAACCAGAGAGUAUUUCACAAUGUUACAAAUAAGCAAGUUAAAAAUACAAAAAGCAGCAUGAACAGAAUGAACAUUUAGCAGACAAGCUUAGCUUAACCACCAAAGCAUAAUCUAGGCAUAUCAACCUGUUAAAAGUUUACUAUCUUAAAAUUCCCAAAGCCCUCAAAAUAAAAAUUAUUUCUAGUCCGGUGGAAUUGUUUUACGAUUCACCAAUGUGACAAAAAUGGCACUUAAAAAUUGAUGAGAAAAUGACACCUAAAACUCUCAGAUUGUGAUGAUCCUGAAUGGAUAAGAUACCAAAUAUACUCUCUGGCAGUCAAUUAAUGUGCUCCGAGAAAAGUUAUCAUAGCUUCAAGAACAGGAUUGUACAUGUUGUUGUUCAAACCAAUGCAUCAUUAUCAUUAACAGGAGAAGGAGAAGUUGAAAAUUAGAAUGGAUAGCCACCAUUAUAAUUUCUCCUUUGCAUGCCUCAGAAUAACUUGCACGAGCUCAUGAGCUGUAAUUUGGUUUGUCGUAAUGAGUUCUAAUUCAAGGAUCUGCCACAAACCAAUCACAGUGAAAAAUGGACCAAGGAGAAAAAGGAGGACAAGUGAUUGUCCAAAAAUGAGUAGCAACUGGUUCACACUCGUGAAGGCAAAAUCUUCAUCACUUUUUAGUCAACAGCAGGAAAGUUAAAUUUUUUGCUUGAAUUGUCCUUAUGAGUCCACUCUGGAUUUAAAAGUAAACAAGAUGGUGGUUAUGCAGUUCUCCAUUCUCAGAUGCAACUAAUCUCCAGUUAGAUUCAUGGUAGACAAAUUAAACUCCACUGCACCAGUUUCAGUCUUCAUCAUCUAAACUAGAAGUGUUUCAAUAAACAACAAAACCUACGUAAUGCCAUAUCUAGAUAUGUACAUGAUGAAGAGUUUGAGAAAGUGAGAAGGGUACCAUGGAUAAGUUUCUAAGCCAUGAGCGUUGAAAUGGUUGAAUCAAAGGCGAGAUCUUCUUAGCACUGACAGAAGAGAGCGGGCCCGCCCGGAGAAAAGUGGAAGAGAGGAGUACAAAAACAGCAAGUAGCAAGAAACGUGUCAAUUUAACUGAAAAGGAUGACAGAAUUGACCGCCAUAGCUGAUACGUUUCAGUAAUCAACGGCGACAGCUGCUCUUUGUGGCUUCUGCAAUUGUGCUAGUUAAUUAUGUGGGACAUGUCUAGCAAAU